RNAcentral lists this ribosomal RNA (372 nucleotides) under uncultured organism. Its description in RNAcentral is "partial 16S ribosomal RNA". It matches the Rfam family "Bacterial small subunit ribosomal RNA", at positions 527 to 896 of the family's 1533-position model. The record is from RNAcentral.
GUAGGUGGCAAGCGUUGUCCGGAAUUAUUGGGCGUAAAGCGCGCGCAGGCGGUUCUUUAAGUCUGAUGUGAAAGCCCACGGCUCAACCGUGGAGGGUCAUUGGAAACUGGAGAACUUGAGUACAGAAGAGGAAAGCGGAAUUCCACGUGUAGCGGUGAAAUGCGUAGAGAUGUGGAGGAACACCAGUGGCGAAGGCGGCUUUCUGGUCUGUAACUGACGCUGAGGCGCGAAAGCGUGGGGGAGCAAACAGGAUUAGAUACCCUGGUAGUCCACGCCGUAAACGAUGAGUGCUAAGUGUUAGGGGGUUUCCGCCCCUUAGUGCUGCAGCUAGCGCAUUAAGCACUCCGCCUGGGGAGUACGGCCGCAAGGCUG